This is a long non-coding RNA of Aethalodelphis obliquidens (Pacific white-sided dolphin), 2423 nucleotides long. RefSeq lists it as uncharacterized. NCBI's taxonomy places the organism in Eukaryota, Metazoa, Chordata, Mammalia, Artiodactyla, Delphinidae. The transcript is spliced from 3 exons. The record is from RefSeq and is a predicted model, not a curated record.
GCCGUCCUGUUCCAGGAGGCAGCUUUCCACCACGGCCCGCAGCUCCUGUUCCUGUGACACCAGGCCCCGCAUGGCCUCCACCUCCUCACAGCGCUGCAGCGGGAGAGGCAGCAGCAGGGAGUGAGAGGACACGGAUCAGCACCUGCUCUAUGUGGAGGUUCCGUGGGCCGUCCUUCUACCAAGACUGUCUGCUAGAAAGAUCCCAGCUUUGAAGGGGGAGAGUAGCCCCCAGGAUCCUGGGACAGAAGACAGAAAGCAUCGUAAGGAGUCGUGACCUUCCCACCCUGCCUGGCUGCUGCUUUCACUAGACAGGGAGCUGGGGCUGCUAGGGAUGCUCUCAAAGGUGGACAGUGGAAAAUGUCAGGGUGCCCUGAGCACAGCAGUGUCUGCUGGGCCAGCUCGGGGCCUCGGGACCCAGGCUGCCUGCACCUGAGCUGGGAGCAGCUGCAGAAGUGGACAGCUGACAGCAGGGAGAAAGCUGGCCACUGGACAGGAAGGGUCUCCACCCAAAUGCUGGGAGCUGCACCUCAGCUGGUUCCUGGGCAUCGUAGCCAGAGGCCUUGGGACUCACGUGAUGCCGAUUUCCUUCAGGUCGCUCUCAGUGAGGGUCAAAAAGAUGCGGAGGUCCACGUCCUGCUCCUCAAACACCUGCAGGUAUUUGAGGCAGCCAAUCUGCUCCAGCAGUGUGGCGAGGUCCUAGAGGGUGAGGAGCCAGGGCAGGUCAGAAGACAGGCAGGCCACGAAGACGUGGGGGCAGGAAAAGGCCUGUGCUGCACACAGAGCUGCCUUUCUCCUGCUGAGCACCUGGCCUGUCCUGAGCUCUGCUGACUCCCAAGUUCGGCAGAGAGCCUGGGCUGCCCCCUGUGUGUCCUCAGGCAGGGCAGGCAGGGCGUCUCUGGACCAGUGUCUUCACUGCAGCAGCAAGCACACCCUGUGGCAGGUCUGCGGCAGCAGCUCCUCUCGGUCUCUGCUGACCCGGGACUCUUCAUUUUUCCUUCACUCUGGGGGACAGUCUUUGCUGGACGCUGCACUGUUGGUUAACAUGUCGUCCAUGUCUUCUGGUCCCUGUGGUUUCUGAUGAGAAAUACGCUGUUAAUUGUCUGGAGAUCCCGUUGUACGUGCUGAGUCACUUGUCUCUUGCUCCAAGAUUCUUUGUUUAGUGACACUCUGAUUGUGAUGUGUCCAGGUGUGGCUCUGAAUUUAACAAACUUAGAGCUCAUUCAGCUUCUUGGAUGUGCAGAUUCAUUUUUUGAUCAAAUCUGAGAAGAUUUGGCUUUUUUUUUUUUUCACUGAAAACUUUUUUUUUGGCCUUUUGGAUAGAAAUGGGAAUUUAUUUGCCAGGAAGGAUGAUCCCAUGGGACCAGUGCCGGGCCUCCUCUUCGCUAAUUCUGUGUUUGGUCACAAUGCAGUCUGCCCUGCACUUCUUGCCUGCGAUGCUGAAACCUGGCCUCCCCAGCACCACGUAGAGGUCCAGGCUGUAGGUACCAAUGCCUGGUAGUUUGAUCCCCAGAUCGACGUGUUCUUGGAUCCCCAAAUCAAAAUUUCCAGUAUCUGAGAGAUUAUUUUUUCUUAACUUGCAUUCUCGCACCUUUAGAUGUUUCUCCAGGAUUUCUUCUGCCUUGGCCCCACGGACUGUGCAGUGUACAGCAGUCUUUUCAUUUCCCCUGAUAAGAUUUGGCUAUUUUAAAACAUUUUUUCUACUUUUCCCUCCCUCCUCCCCAGGAACACCAUUACGUGCACGCUGUUACACUUGCUGGUGUCUCACAGGUUUCUGUUCAUUUUUCCUCAUUCUUCUUUAUCGUAUUGGAUAACCUCAAGUGAUCUAUGUUAAGUCUUCUGGUUCUCUCUUCUGUGUGCUCAAACCUGCUGUUGAGCCCCUCUAGUAAAAUUUUCAUCUCAGUUAUUGUACUUUCAGUUCCAGAAUUUCUAUUUGGUUCAUUUUUAUUUCUAUCACUUUAUUGAUAUUCUGUAUUUAGACAUGGUUUCCUUUAGCUCUUGGAACAUAUUUUAUUCCUUUCUUUGUUUCUGUUUUACAAACCCUGUGUCAAGGGCUGACUUUCAGGAGAUGGCAGUGACGGAGCUGCUCUGCUACGUAGGAAACCCCGACCCAGAAGCAGGUAGCUUCGCCCCACCGGCUCCUCUGCCAAGCACAUACACCAAAUCUUGGAACAUAUUUAAAGAAGCUGAUUUAAAGGCUCCAAUCGGCAUGUGUUUAAGGCUCAGGGAGGCUGAGCUGAGCAUGGAAACCAGGGGGAGAGACGGAUCCCUCCAUGGAAAGGAAUGAACAGAAGCCCGGCAACUGGCUCCUCUCACCAUUAGGAAUCCUCUCAGCCCGAGUAGCUUUCUAGGUCGUGUGGAGAAAACCACCCCACUCUUUUCUCUCAACAGUGCCAGCCCCAUGGGAAGUACAAAUAACUGCCUCA